This 332-nucleotide ribosomal RNA is filed under the name uncultured bacterium. RNAcentral's name for it is "bacterial SSU rRNA". It matches the Rfam family "Bacterial small subunit ribosomal RNA", at positions 568 to 898 of the family's 1533-position model. The record is from RNAcentral.
CUCGUAGGUGGUCCGCCGCGUCCGCUGUGAAAAUCCAGGGCUUAACCCUGGACUUGCGGUGGAUACGGGCGAACUAGAGGUAGGUAGGGGAGAAUGGAAUUCCCGGUGUAGCGGUGAAAUGCGCAGAUAUCGGGAGGAACACCGGUGGCGAAGGCGGUUCUCUGGGCCUUACCUGACACUGAGGAGCGAAAGCGUGGGGAGCGAACAGGAUUAGAUACCCUGGUAGUCCACGCCGUAAACGUUGGGCGCUAGGUGUGGGGUCCUUCCACGGAUUCCGUGCCGCAGCUAACGCAUUAAGCGCCCCGCCUGGGGAGUACGGCCGCAAGGCUAAA